RNAcentral lists this ribosomal RNA (253 nucleotides) under uncultured bacterium. RNAcentral describes it as "partial 16S ribosomal RNA". It matches the Rfam family "Bacterial small subunit ribosomal RNA", at positions 524 to 776 of the family's 1533-position model. The record is from RNAcentral.
GACAGAGGGUGCAAACGUUGUUCGGAAUUACUGGGCGUAAAGCGCGUGUAGGCGGCUCGGCAAGUCGGAUGUGAAAGCCCUGGGCUCAACCCAGGAAGUGCACUCGAAACUGCCGAGCUGGAGUCCCGGAGAGGAAGGCGGAAUUCUCGGUGUAGAGGUGAAACUCGUAGAUAUCGAGAGGAACACCGGUGGCGAAGGCGGCCUUCUGGACGGCGACUGACGCUGAGACGCGAAAGCGUGGGGAGCAAACAGG